This 451-nucleotide ribosomal RNA is filed under the name uncultured cyanobacterium. RNAcentral describes it as "bacterial SSU rRNA". It matches the Rfam family "Bacterial small subunit ribosomal RNA", at positions 28 to 524 of the family's 1533-position model. Lineage: Bacteria; Bacillati; Cyanobacteriota. The record is from RNAcentral.
GAUGAACGCUGGCGGUAUGCUUAACACAUGCAAGUCGAACGGGAUUCUUCGGAAUCUAGUGGCGGACGGGUGAGUAACGCGUGAGAAUCUGCCUUCAGGUCGGGGACAACAUUUGGAAACGAAUGCUAAUACCCGAUGUGCCGCAAGGUGAAAGGUUAACUGCCUGAAGAUGAGCUCGCGUCCGAUUAGCUAGUUGGUGGUGUAAAGGACUACCAAGGCGACGAUCGGUAGCUGGUUUGAGAGGACAAUCAGCCACACUGGAACUGAGACACGGUCCAGACUCCUACGGGAGGCAGCAGUGGGGAAUUUUCCGCAAUGGGCGAAAGCCUGACGGAGCAAUACCGCGUGAGGGACGAAGGCUUUUGGGUCGUAAACCUCUUUUCUCAAGGAAGAUUUAGACGGUACUUGAGGAAUAAGCAUCGGCUAACUCCGUGCCAGCAGCCGCGGUAAU